GUCCCCCCAUAUUUAUCAUUUUAAGCCAGCCCACCCGGCCAGCUAACCGUCUUUCGCGCUCUUUAGAGGCUAUGACCCCCAGAAGAACACUGUAACCCAGCGCGACUAUAACAAUUUCAGGUCUAGGUCAUCCGAGAGAUCAGUUGUGAGGUCUGGCAGAUCAGAUACGCUAAGAUCACCUUGCAGACCAGAUGAAAGGUCAAGAUCAAUUCGCAGAUGGGAUGAGAGGACCCCUACAAGGUCAAGUUGCAGGUGAAGACCCGUGCCGUUCUCUCAUUGCACAAACCCUUCCAUCUCUACAGAGAAUGCCACCAGAAGACCUCCGACUGAAUUUUCAGAGGAGUGUCCUCAUGAAGCUUGACAGCAUUCUUGAGAAGAAGCAGGAAGGCUUGGUCCUAUUGCAGAGGGUGGUUUCUUCCCUUGGCAGCAGUGUGGAGGACAUUGACGAUGUGUUUCCUCGACCCUGGCAGACCAUAGAAGAAAUGGAAAAUAUGUGCACCCAUCUCGAUAAAGAUGCUGACUUGAGGAAAAAAAUGAUCCUGUACCUGAGUUCCAUUGGAGGGACUGACCUGGGAGACACAGUGCCGAAAAUUAUACACAAGCUGUUUACAAACAAGCUUAUGUCGCGCUACAACAUGAAGGCCAGAAAUGGAAAGCUGAGGUUCCAUUAAAGAAACAACCAAAUGGAACCACAAGGUGACCAGGACAGAGGUGGAGUUGAAAGUAGGAGAGACUCUGAAACUGGCACUACAUCGACAGAAACAAAAUCAGGAAAGGCUGAACAAGUCCAAGGAAAGGGCAGAAGAUGAGGUGGCCAUGGACUAAUG
This is a long non-coding RNA of Acipenser ruthenus (sterlet), 827 nucleotides long. RefSeq lists it as uncharacterized. The transcript is spliced from 6 exons. NCBI's taxonomy places the organism in Eukaryota, Metazoa, Chordata, Actinopteri, Acipenseriformes, Acipenseridae. The record is from RefSeq and is a predicted model, not a curated record.